UACGUAGGAGACGAGCGUUGUCCGGAAUUACUGGGCGUAAAGAGCGUGUAGGCGGCCAGGUAGGUCAGCUGUGAAAACUCGAGGCUCAACCUCGAGACGCCGGUUGAAACCAUCUGGCUAGAGUCCGGAAGAGGAGAGUGGAAUUCCUGGUGUAGCGGUGAAAUGCGCAGAUAUCAGGAAGAACACCCGUGGCUAAGGCGGCUCUCUAGUACGGUACUGACGCUGAGACGCGAAAGCGUGGGGAGCGAACAGG
This 253-nucleotide ribosomal RNA is filed under the name uncultured bacterium. RNAcentral describes it as "partial 16S ribosomal RNA". It matches the Rfam family "Bacterial small subunit ribosomal RNA", at positions 524 to 776 of the family's 1533-position model. The record is from RNAcentral.